This 427-nucleotide ribosomal RNA is filed under the name uncultured bacterium. RNAcentral describes it as "partial 16S ribosomal RNA". It matches the Rfam family "Bacterial small subunit ribosomal RNA", at positions 355 to 774 of the family's 1533-position model. The record is from RNAcentral.
UGGGGAAUAUUGCACAAUGGGCGCAAGCCUGAUGCAGCCAUGCCGCGUGUAUGAAGAAGGCCUUCGGGUUGUAAAGUACUUUCAGCGGGGAGGAAGGCGAUGCGGUUAAUAACCGCGUCGAUUGACGUUACCCGCAGAAGAAGCACCGGCUAACUCCGUGCCAGCAGCCGCGGUAAUACGGAGGGUGCAAGCGGUAAUCGGAAUUACUGGGCGUAAAGCGCACGCAGGCGGUCUGUCAAGUCGGAUGUGAAAUCCCCGGGCUCAACCUGGGAACUGCAUCCGAAACUGGCAGGCUUGAGUCUCGUAGAGGGGGGUAGAAUUCCAGGUGUAGCGGUGAAAUGCGUAGAGAUCUGGAGGAAUACCGGUGGCGAAGGCGGCCCCCUGGACGAAGACUGACGCUCAGGUGCGAAAGCGUGGGGAGCAAACA